Molecule: ribosomal RNA, 371 nt
Filed under: uncultured organism
Description: bacterial SSU rRNA
Rfam family: Bacterial small subunit ribosomal RNA
Source: RNAcentral
CGAACCGUGCGAACGUUGUUCGGAAUCACUGGGCAUAAAGGGCGCGUAGGCGGCUUAUCAAGUCAGGGGUGAAAUCCGGCAGCUCAACUGUCGAAGUGCCUUUGAUACUGAUGAGCUCGAGGGAGGUAGGGGUCUGUGGAACUUCCGGUGGAGCGGUGAAAUGCGUUGAUAUCGGAAGGAACGCCGGUGGCGAAAGCGACGGACUGGACCUCUUCUGACGCUGAGGCGCGAAAGCCAGGGGAGCAAACGGGAUUAGAUACCCCGGUAGUCCUGGCCCUAAACGAUGGGUACUAGAUAGUGGACUUAACAUGGGUUCACUGUCGAAGCUAAUGUGUUAAGUACCCCGCCUGGGGAGUAUGGUCGCAAGGCUG